RNAcentral lists this ribosomal RNA (257 nucleotides) under uncultured bacterium. RNAcentral describes it as "partial 16S ribosomal RNA". It matches the Rfam family "Bacterial small subunit ribosomal RNA", at positions 524 to 776 of the family's 1533-position model. The record is from RNAcentral.
UACGUAGGGACCGAGCGUUGUCCGGAUUCAUUGGGCGUAAAGGGUGCGUAGGCGGCGCGGUAAGUCGGGUGUGAAAUCUCGGAGCUUAACUCCGAAACUGCAUUCGAUACUGCCGUGCUUGAGGACUGGAGAGGAGACUGGAAUUUACGGUGUAAGCUGGUGAAAUGCGUAGAUAUCGGUAAGGAAGACCAGGUGGCGAAGGCGGGUCUCUGGACAGUUCCUGACGCUGAGGCACGAAGGUCAGGGGAGCAAACGGG